AGUCGAACGGUAGCAGGAAGUGCUUGCACUUCGCUGACGAGUGGCGGACGGGUGAGUAAUGCUUGGGAACUUGCCUUUAGGUGGGGGAUAACAGUUGGAAACGACUGCUAAUACCGCAUAAUGUCUACGGACCAAAGGGGGCUUCGGCUCCCGCCUUGAGAGAGGCCCAAGUGAGAUUAGCUAGUUGGUGGGGUAAAGGCCUACCAAGGCAACGAUCUCUAGCUGUUCUGAGAGGAAGAUCAGCCACACUGGGACUGAGACACGGCCCAGACUCCUACGGGAGGCAGCAGUGGGGAAUAUUGCACAAUGGGGGAAACCCUGAUGCAGCCAUGCCGCGUGUGUGAAGAAGGCCUUCGGGUUGUAAAGCACUUUCAGUUGUGAGGAAAGGUUGGUAGUUAAUACCUGCCAGCUGUGACGUUAACAACAGAAGAAGCACCGGCUAACUCCGUGCCAGCAGCCGCGGUAAUACGGAGGGUGCGAGCGUUAAUCGGAAUUACUGGGCGUAAAGCGCACGCAGGCGGCUUGUUAAGCUAGAGGUGAAAGCCCCGCGCUCAACGUGGGAACUGCCUUUAGAACUGGCAGGCUAGAGUCUUGGAGAGGGGAGUGGAAUUCCAGGUGUAGCGGUGAAAUGCGUAGAUAUCUGGAGGAACAUCAGUGGCGAAGGCGGCUCCCUGGCCAAAGACUGACGCUCAUGUGCGAAAGUGUGGGUAGCGAACAGGAUUAGAUACCCUGGUAGUCCACACCGUAACGCUGUCUACUAGCUGUUUGUGUAUUUAAUACGUGAGUAGCGAAGCUAACGCGCUAAGUAGACCGCCU
RNAcentral lists this ribosomal RNA (816 nucleotides) under Alteromonadaceae bacterium GUDS1253. RNAcentral describes it as "bacterial SSU rRNA". It matches the Rfam family "Bacterial small subunit ribosomal RNA", at positions 60 to 874 of the family's 1533-position model. The record is from RNAcentral. Lineage: Bacteria; Pseudomonadati; Pseudomonadota; Gammaproteobacteria; Alteromonadales; Alteromonadaceae.